UAGGGAAUUUUGCGCAAUGGGGGAAACCCUGACGCAGCAACACCGCGUGAAUGUUAAGCCCUUCGGGGUGUAAAGUUCUGUCAGUGGGGACGAAAUAUGACUGUACCCACAAAGGAAGCUUCGGCUAACUACGUGCCAGCAGCCGCGGUAAUACGUAGGGAGCGAGCGUUGUCCGGAAUUACUGGGUGUAAAGAGUACGUAGGCUGUCAAGUAAGUCUGGCGUGAAAGGCAAGGGCUCAACCCUUGGACUGCGCCGGAUACUGCGUGACUAGAGUAAUGGAGGGGGAACCGGAAUUCUCGGUGUAGCAGUGAAAUGCGUAGAUAUUAGGAGGAACACCAGAGGCGAAGGCGACUUACUGGACAAUAACUGACGUUGAGGCGCGAAAGCGUGGGGAGCAAACA
Molecule: ribosomal RNA, 402 nt
Filed under: uncultured bacterium
Lineage: Bacteria
Description: bacterial SSU rRNA
Rfam family: Bacterial small subunit ribosomal RNA
Source: RNAcentral